GUGGAGCACCGAGUCCUGGCGAACAAGAGCAAAGACACCGCUAGGGUCUCUGUGGCGUCCUUCUUCAACACCAACAUUGAGAGAUCGACGAGGUUGUAUGGCCCCAUCACCGAUGGACGCAACCCCCCGAUCUACAGGAGCGUCACCGCUAGAGAGUUCAUCGCAACGUUUAAUCGCAUAGGCCUUGAUGGUCGCUCGCUCGACCAGUACCGGUUGGACCGGGAUACUCCCACACCUGCCGUGGAGGGGUAUACCAAAAAUCAUGUCCUAGUGCUAGAUAAGUCAAGCAAGAGAUUUACCCCUCAAGAUGGAGGGAUACACACUGGGCCCUCUCAAUGCAUCUACGCGUUCUUCAGAACAACUUCAAUAUUACGAUGUCAAUUGAUGGAGCAAAACUAA
This 399-nucleotide ribosomal RNA is filed under the name Triticum aestivum (bread wheat). RNAcentral describes it as "partial small subunit ribosomal RNA". The record is from RNAcentral. Lineage: Eukaryota; Viridiplantae; Streptophyta; Magnoliopsida; Poales; Poaceae.